GUUUGAGGACGAAAUAUACAACGUUUUCAGAAAGUAUCUUCCCUUGCCCUUCCCUUUUCCAUUUGCUUAAUAUAAACGUGGAUCUUUUUUUUUCAGCUCUCAGAAUGGUGAGGCUGACGAGUGAUAUUCCACAUGGACUUGACUGCUUUGUGGCUCACCUUGGGCUUCUUAGCUCUCCACAGGAGAUCCAUCACCUCUUCUGCAGUGAGACACCUAAUUGGGGCAACACUCGAGACCUGCCAAAGGAAAGCCUUGCAUCUGCCAAUAACCUGUGAAAAGUGCUUCCUCAUUUCUGUGAUACCUACCAAGAAUGGGAGAUUUAGCGGGAGUUUCUAAGUUCCUCAGACAUUUAGAGAAGACCCCAAGCCCUUUCUACGAUGGAUGAAUUCCCAAGGACGAUGUGUCACCACUUGAAGACCGAUCUCACAAAGGACAGAUCAAUUCUGAAAUCUGUCUUUUCAGAAACAAGCUGACACUCUGGGCACCAAAACAGAUCAGAGGAACUGCAACAAAAAGCAGUGUUCUGCCAAAGCUGCAGGCAGGAGUCUGUCAGGGAGAAUGAUGGAGCAAGAAGAGUGGUGUUCUAACAGGCAAAGGGGGAAGAAAGAAAGAGUGAAAAGUGUAAGAAACUGGAAAGAGACUUCAAGGGGCACAACGCUGUUCAGUGGGGCAGAAACUGAGAAGCAAGUGAACUACAGUGCAGGGUGAUUUGCAUUUUCCAAGACAAUUUGUAAAAGGUGAAAAGCUGUAGAUGAAAUGCUUUGAUUUGCCUUUAUCGCACUCUGCCUGUGCACCUGUGUCAUUCAUUUCAUGUAAUAACCUCUGCUAAACAGUCAGAGGCUGCAGCAUAAUUGUGUUGACCUUAAAUUAAAGCAAAAAGCUGCAAUUCUGGAAUUUGAAGCUUGUAGUACCUUGCUGGCUAAAGGGCAAAAUAAAGAAGUAAAGAUGAAUGACAACUUUUCACGUCACGUGAAAAAUCAAGGCUUAUGCACCAGAGAACUUCACAACAAUUGAUUCGUAUCCUUUCAGCCUAUGUCUCAAUCCUAAAAUUGCAUUAAAAUUAAACUCUCUGUUUCUAAUUCUCAUCCAGUGGAGCUUAGAUGAACCUCAGAUUUUAGAUGGGGGUUAUGUUAUGGGAAUUGUUUUCUUUGCAACAUAAAGCACCAAGAAUGGGAAACAGUAGCAUUUUGGGGGGAUUCUUUUUGCUUUCUUUCCUUUUUAUUCCUUUCUAUCCCACACAGCAGAAAUGCAAUCUAAUUGAGUAGCAGGAAGGCAACCUACAUUAAGUUAACAAGUGAAGAAAAAAAGUCAAUCUUUCUGGCUUUGAAGGAAUUUAUACCAGGAGAAAAACUGUGCCUGCAAUACAAAGCCAAAAGAUAUCAACUAUCCUGAGAGAAGUUUUCACAACAAAGAACAUAAACUAGCAAAAAAAAAAAGGCAUUGCUGUGGUCGGUGUCCCUGAGAUGAGAAACCGAAAGCCGCGAGUGUAAAGCAGCUAUGAGAUGGUUGUCAGUGGAAUGUCAGCUUCCAGCAGAACAGGAAUAACUCAGAAGUCUCAGGACGAGUCUCUGCUUCCUCGCACACUGUACAGUGUUUUAAUCAAAGCCCGGAAUGAGCAGUUUCCAGCCAGCCACAAAAUGCCACGUCAGGCCCUGCAGAAAGAGGAUUGCAGCAGAAAUGGGGCUUCCCCAGAUCUAUCUAAGUUCUCUUAUUCCAGGGAUGGAAAUGUGGUACCACAUACUGAUAAACACACGAUACCAUUUGAACCAGGAUCUGCACCGUCACUCAGCAGAAAUGAGGAAGGCACAGUGCUCUGCAGCACGAGGCCGCUGACUUACCCACAGAGGCAGCACCGCCCGCACGGCGUGACUGGUGAGGCAGCUCCUGUCUCCUGGGCCCAGAGGUAAUUCCUUUUCCAGGUCUGCUCUGUGCUGGACCUUGCCUUUGCAGAUGUUGUGGCUGGCGCCAGAUGAUGCGCAGCAGCUUUGUAACGGGGAGUAUCCUCUCCUGGGGAUUGCACAGCCCUACCGAAGUCACGUCAAGGAGCACUUUGAUGAAAUGGAGAGCUGAACUGCAGGGGUAGGAACCAGUUCUUCUUUAUUUCAUUGUUUGGAAUUUUUUCCUGAGAGUGCGGUCAGGGAAGGGUGGGAGAUAGAAGACCUUCUUACCUUUCUGGUUUUGUCUCUUUCCAUGGUACAUCGCAUCCAUGCCUUCCACAGCUGCACUAGUAGGUCUGUACUUCCUGAGAGGAAUCCAACAGAAAAAUGUUCAGUCUUUAGGCCCCCCAGAAGCAGCACUGGUCUUUGCAGCAAUCCUUCUGAAAAUAUUUCCGUAAAGUUCUUCUUUUAAUUCCUGAUCCUGCUCAGACACAUUAGACUGAUACAAAACCCCGUAAGUAACUUCACCAGCCUCAGUGGAAUGGCUAAGCUCUCUGAACUCCACCUUUGCAUUAUCACACCAUUUAAUUACAUUAAAAUUAUAAAUAUAAUUAUGGCAGGUUCUAGGUCAUUGGCUCUGCAUCUUCCUGGUUAGGGCUGACCAUAGCAUUUGUCUGGAUUUUCUUGUCACAGAAUGGACUGAUCACUCCAUGCUUCCUAAGGGACCAAGUGCUUGUUCUCCACAGCUCCUUGGAGCUGAAGGUGCUUGCCCACACUGAGCGACGAGUGAGACUGUGCUAUGUUUCUAUGAGCAGAGCUGCUGUGAUGGAAAUUUCUGUUCCAACACACUUCCAAACAGAGAGAAAUAAAGGGGAAACAAAAGAAAAAGGAGUUACACGCCAGAAGGCAGCAUUUAAAUGCUAGUGUGGCAACCAGAGAGGUAAGGGAAUGAAACACCGACAGAGGGAGGCGAGGAAGGUCACUGUCCCCAGGGGCAGCAACAGCAGAUGGCCACAAGCACAAAUCAAGAAUUCUGCAGAUAGGAGUUUUACCCUCGCCCUUUGAUUUACUUAAGCAUAAUUUGCACUUUAGUUUAUUUUCAUGGCCAUUGGGAGGUUGGUAAAGGGCCAGAUUGCUCCAAAGGGAGAACAUUUUAAUGUGUACGUACAGUGGGAUAUUCAGAGACGCUGUCAGCAUUAAACCUCCUCAGUUCUCUUUAUUGGGAUGACAGCAGCAAUAAAAGAGCCACCUGAGGGUCUCUUCCACCCUCUCCCUUUCCUUGUGCAAUCCUAAAGCUUGCACAUAGAUUUCCUAGAUGGGGGUUGGACACUGCUUACACUUGGAUUUACCUGCAUUUCUGGGCUGGGCCAAAACUUCCAGUGGCAAAGUGAGAACAUUUUGGCUUUGAAUAAGAAGAGACAUUUCUUAGUGACUGUGCCGAGCUGCUUCAGACACAAAACAAACAUUGACUGCACAUCUAUCCUGGCAAAAACAAAAGAACUGACCUUAGCAGCGAUUACCAGGGAAUAGGCCCAGAUUUGCAUUUGAGACACUUGCAUUUCCAGCCCCUCGUGCCUCCAUAGGGAAAAGCUGAUGUUGCACAAAGAACAGUCAGGUAAACUGCUGUUCCUGCUCGUGUGAGUUCUACACAACUGAACCACCAGUAUUCCAGAUUCUGUUUAACUUCACAGCCUUUGGAGCUUUGCUUCCACUGUAUUGCAUUUAUUUUCUGGACAUACUCAAUUUUGCUGGCACGGGAGAUAAAAAAAUAAUAAAAGAAAGCUUAUGAUAGAAGAGUAGGAAACAAAUGACACUUGUGCAUUUGUCAUUGAUCCCUGAAAAAUUAGGUGAGCCCUAGACUUACUUUUGGAUUUAUCUCUGCUGGUUGUGCUAAUGCGUUAGGGUGUUCCCAAAGAACCCGAGAGAAACAAAUUCCCUGUUUUGCCUCCUAUUCGUGGCAGGGGAAGAACAAGAUCAAAUAUCAGGUUCAAUUGCUUAAAAAACUGUUAAACCUGUAGGAGAAAGAUUAAAAAAAAAAACCCCACGACCUUAGUAGCCUUUGCCAGAAAUGACAGAAAUGAGACAGACACAGUAAUCUUGCACAGUUAUUCCUUCAGUCUUUCUAAACUCCGAAGACAACCAAAUUAACACGGAAAUCGGAGCCCUCACACACCCUACAGCCAACAGCUCCCAAAAUUAUGAAAACCCUUAUUGAUUCAGUUUAUUGCUGUCCUGAAGCAAAAAAGUGCCUCUGCACUUAUUUAGUCCUUUUACCUUUGACUGAGGUUUGGUUUUGCCUUGUAUGGUGCCACUGAAGAGCAGUGGGGAGCAGUAACAAGGCUUCCUUAAUGCUGGAAUCAUGAAAGCUCGUUCCUUGGGAGAAGAGACCAAUCCCCGCUGGCUGCAGCCGCCUGGCAGGUACAGGGUACGGAGCAACCGGGGCUCCCCUGAGUCUCACUCAGUACUUUGGUUAUGCCAAACAUUUGGGCUCAUUCAGUUUGCUGGUAAGAAGACAUAAAGGUGACACAUCCUGGGCACUGUCCCUUCCUCCCCCUUAAGUGUCCCCCCAGGAUGGCCUGCGGCUCAUAAAGUAACAUCUGUGGAAUCAGGCACCUCUGAACGGGCUUCUAACAACUCAUUCCAUCACUUCUUGCCUCUUUUUAUUCAGUGCAAGCACGAAAAUUUCUGUGAUGGACAAUGAAAAGCAAUAGAGAAAAUCCCAGACAAAUGAUCAUAAAUGGCCCAGCUGAGAAAGCAGAUCCCAUGUAAUUGAAUAGAGGUGGAAGGUCAUUCCUAACACUUCAAAUGUAACAGCCAAAGCAGAUCCUUAUGUCACCGUGAUACUGACGUGGAAAGAUCACGUGCUUAAAAUUAUUUAAAAG
Molecule: long non-coding RNA, 4759 nt
Organism: Corvus hawaiiensis (hawaiian crow)
Lineage: Eukaryota; Metazoa; Chordata; Aves; Passeriformes; Corvidae
Exons: 5
Source: RefSeq, a predicted model, not a curated record